UAAUUUACGUGUUAUGUAUGAAGCAUUAGAUUAGUAUUAGUUACAUCCUUACAGAUUCUCUUAUCUGUGCUUUAACUUUCUAAUAGGUGGUCAAGAAGAAUACAUCUUAUCUUACGAGGCAGUGAAUCAACAAGAAGUCAGUUAUACUCGACCAGUUAUCAUAUUGGGACCUAUGAAAGACAGGAUAAAUGAUGAUUUGAUCUCAGAAUUUCCUGACAAAUUUGGAUCCUGUGUUCCUCAUACAACUAGACCAAAACGAGAUUAUGAAGUGGAUGGAAGAGAUUAUCAUUUUGUGACUUCAAGAGAACAGAUGGAAAAAGAUAUCCAGGAGCAUAAAUUCAUUGAAGCUGGCCAGUAUAACAACCAUCUGUAUGGAACAAGUGUUCAGUCUGUGCGAGAAGUAGCAGAAAAGGUAAGGCGCAAAGUAAUCUCAGAAUGUUAUUUCUAAAUCAGAUGUGUCUUUGACAAUAUGAAAGAAUAAUAGAAUAGAAACUUGCUUUACAUGUAUGAAAAAUAUAAGAUUGAUGA
Molecule: non-coding RNA, 528 nt
Organism: Castor canadensis (American beaver)
Lineage: Eukaryota; Metazoa; Chordata; Mammalia; Rodentia; Castoridae
Source: RefSeq, a predicted model, not a curated record